RNAcentral lists this ribosomal RNA (446 nucleotides) under uncultured bacterium. RNAcentral's name for it is "SSU rRNA". It matches the Rfam family "Bacterial small subunit ribosomal RNA", at positions 26 to 518 of the family's 1533-position model. The record is from RNAcentral.
AGAGCGAACGCUGGCGGCAGGCUUAACACAUGCAAGUCGAACGGGCGUAGCAAUACGUCAGCGGCAGACGGGUGAGUAACGCGUGGGAACAUACCUUUUGGUUCGGAACAACACAGGGAAACUUGUGCUAAUACCGGAUAAGCCCUUACGGGGAAAGAUUUAUCGCCGAAAGAUUGGCCCGCGUCUGAUUAGCUAGUUGGUGAGGUAAUGGCUCACCAAGGCGACGAUCAGUAGCUGGUCUGAGAGGAUGAUCAGCCACAUUGGGACUGAGACACGGCCCAAACUCCUACGGGAGGCAGCAGUUGGGAAUCUUGGACAAUGGGGGAAACCCUGAUCCAGCCAUGCCGCGUGAGUGAUGAAGGCCUUCGGGUUGUAAAACUCUUUCGACGGGACGAUAAUGACGGUACCGUAGAAGAAGCUCCGGCUAACUUCGUGCCAGCAGCCGC